RNAcentral lists this ribosomal RNA (489 nucleotides) under uncultured bacterium. Its description in RNAcentral is "partial 16S ribosomal RNA". It matches the Rfam family "Bacterial small subunit ribosomal RNA", at positions 28 to 507 of the family's 1533-position model. The record is from RNAcentral.
GACGAACGCUGGCGGCGUGCUUAACACAUGCAAGUCGAACGGUGAAGGGACCAGCUUGCUGGUUCUGGAUGAGUGGCGAACGGGUGAGUAACACGUGAGUAACCUGCCCCCUUCUUCUGGAUAACCGCAUGAAAGUCUGGCUAAUACGGGAUAUUCUGGGUCUGUCGCAUGGCGGGCCCGGGAAAGAUAUUGCUUCGGUGGGGGAUGGGCUCGCGGCCUAUCAGCUUGUUGGUGGGGUGAUGGCCUACCAAGGCGGUGACGGGUAGCCGGCCUGAGAGGGUGGACGGUCACACUGGGACUGAGACACGGCCCAGACUCCUACGGGAGGCAGCAGUGGGGAAUAUUGCACAAUGGGCGCAAGCCUGAUGCAGCGACGCCGCGUGAGGGAUGGAGGCCUUCGGGUUGUAAACCUCUUUCGCCAGUGAAGCAGGCCUGCUCCUUGUGGGUGGGUUGACGGUAGCUGGAUAAGAAGCGCCGGCUAACUACGUG